CCUACGGGAGGCAGCAGUGGGGAAUAUUGGACAAUGGGGGGAACCCUGAUCCAGCGACGCCGCGUGAGUGAAGAAGGAUUUCGGUAUGUAAAGCUCUAUCAGCAGGGAAGAAAGAAAUGACGGUACCUGACUAAGAAGCCACGGCUAACUACGUGCCAGCAGCCGCGGUAAUACGUAGGGGGCAAGCGUUAUCCGGAUUUACUGGGUGUAAAGGGAGCGUAGACGGCGAUGCAAGUCUGAGGUGAAAGGCAGGGGCUCAACCCGCGGACUGCUUUGGAAACUGUAUGGCUGGAGUGCAGGAGAGGUAAGUGGAAUUCCUAGUGUAGCGGUGAAAUGCGUAGAUAUUAGGAGGAACACCAGUGGCGAAGGCGGCUUACUGGACUGUAACUGACGUUGAGGCGCGAAAGCGUGGGGAGCAAACAGGAUUAGAUACCCUUGUAGUC
Molecule: ribosomal RNA, 443 nt
Filed under: uncultured bacterium
Lineage: Bacteria
Description: partial 16S ribosomal RNA
Rfam family: Bacterial small subunit ribosomal RNA
Source: RNAcentral